RNAcentral lists this ribosomal RNA (749 nucleotides) under uncultured bacterium. Its description in RNAcentral is "bacterial SSU rRNA". It matches the Rfam family "Bacterial small subunit ribosomal RNA", at positions 585 to 1321 of the family's 1533-position model. The record is from RNAcentral.
AAGUCACUUGUGAAAUCUCCGGGCUUAACUCGGAACGGUCAAGUGAUACUGUCAGACUAGAGUGCAGAAGGGGCAAUUGGAAUUCUCGGUGUAGCGGUGAAAUGCGUAGAUAUCGAGAGGAACCACCAGAGGCGAAGGCGGAUUGCUGGGCUGACACUGACGCUGAGGCGCGAAAGCUAGGGGAGCGAACGGGAUUAGAUACCCCCGGUAGUCCUAGCCUUAAACCGAUGAAUGCUUGGUGUCUCGGGUUACAUAGUCCCCGGGGUGCCGUCGCUAACGCUUUUAGCAUUCCGCCUGGGGAGUACGCACGCAAGUGUGAAACUCAAAGAAAUUGACGGGGACCCGCACAAGCGGUGGAGCAUGUGGUUUAAUUCGACGCAACGCGAAGAACCUUACCUAGUCUAGAAUGCCUCUGACAACCUUAGAGAUAGGGCCUUUUGGGUAAAACCAAACAGAGUGCAAGGUGCUGCAUGGCUGUCGUCAGCUCGUGUCGUGAGAUGUUGGGUUAAGUCCCGCAACGAGCGCAACCCUUAUCAAUAGUUGCCAUCGGGUAAUGCCGGGAACUCUAUCGAGACUGCCGUUGACAAAACGGAGGAAGGUUGGGGAUGACGUCAAGUCCUCAUGGCCUUUAGGACCAGGGCUACACACGUGCUACAAUGGCAAGUACAAACCGUCGCAAACACCGCAAGUGGGAGCCAAUCGGAAAAAGCUUGUCUCAGUUCGGAUUGGAGUCCGCAACUCGACUCCAU